This 1826-nucleotide long non-coding RNA is filed under the name Helianthus annuus (common sunflower). Its description in RNAcentral is "hypothetical non coding rna". The record is from RNAcentral. Lineage: Eukaryota; Viridiplantae; Streptophyta; Magnoliopsida; Asterales; Asteraceae.
UCACUUUUUUCAAACCCUAGAUCCAUUUUUCUCUAAUCUGGUUCUUCCUUCUUCACCGAUCGAGCAUAGAUAUCAUCUAUCGAUCAUCGCCGCAUUUUCUUCUUAAAUCACCAUAUACCAGGUUCGUUCUUGCAAAUGAGCGAUUUGUCAGAAAAUUCGAAAUUCUAGUGAUUCAGUAACCAGGUUUGCGAUUUUGUGUAGUAUUUUGGUUUUUAUAAUAUUCAUUUUAUGUAUGUUCUUCAGAUCUUCUACGUUCCAAAUAGACUGUUGACCAGCAUGUAAAAAUAUUUUGAAAAUUUUAUAAAAUUAGGCACAUCACUAGAAUAUGCCGUGAAAAAAAAAAGUUUUGUCAAUGAAUAUUUCUAAACGAAUGUAGCUUACUAUUCUUGGGUUGUUUUUUUACAGAGAUAGAAGUUGAGUUUUGUUUAUUUAUCUUGGUUUUUUUUUCUGUUCAUGCUCUUUCUAUUUUUGGGGACUGAUUUUGCUAUUCAAUUUUUCAAGUUGCCAUGGCUUAAUGCUCAUCUUACAAAGAUCUGGCCUUUUGUUAACGAGGUUAGUUGAUUGUAUUAAAUGGUUAUUUGAUGCUUUAGUUGAGUGGUGUAUGUCUGUAUUUUAGGUUUUUGAUAUUUAUUAUUGUAAAUAUUAGUAGAUAUUUAUUUAUUGUAAAGAUAUGUCCACAUAAUUUGCAGGUAUGUAAUCUAUAGUAGAUAUUUAUUUAUUGUAAAUGUUUAAUGUCAAUUUUUGAUGAAUUUUCUUUUUUUUUAUAUAUGUAGAUCGAACAUGUUAUAGGUGUAUUUAAUCAAUAAUCUAUAAAAAGAUUUAAGGUAAAACUACAUGAUUAAGGUUAAAUACUGUUUCUUUAUGUUGUUCGAUCUUCAAUUUAUUCAAGAAAAGUUAUUUUUUUGAUGUUGAAAACUGUUUUGGCAGUUGCUAAUGUUUGUUGUUCUUCUUAUUUUUUUGUAGAUCAUUAGACAUAUAGUUAAGGCAUGUAAACAAUACUAGAUUGUUUGUUUUUCAUCAUGAUUCAUAUGAAAUGAUGUUUUGUUAAAAAAAUUAUUUACUGUUUUUGAAAUUCGGACUCGGAAUGUUCGUCUACCAAAACAGGUUAGUUAAAUGUUGUUGGUAUUGUUUGUUUUUUGAUAUGUAUACUCUUUCUUAUUUCUUAUAAAAUUUUCUGUUUAGGCAUAAUUUUGAAACUUUAUGUCAUUAUCUUUUGAAGUUCAUAUUGUUAGUUUUGUCAAUUAUGAGUUUUUCUAUUUAGGUUUAAAGAUACCUUUAGUUUCUUUCUAAAGAUAUUUUUGUUUCCAAAAACACAUUACUGUUUUUAAGGUUAAUUUCUAUUCUCAAUUAUAACUCGGUUUCUGUAAUUAGACAUUGUUUCUAUAAAUAAGUUACCGUUAUAUUUUUUUAAAAAAUUCUUUUAUUCCUUUGCAGUUAUGGAUCCUAAAACAACGCUCCAAACGUUUUUAAAGUUGAUUGAUGGCUAUGAUUCUAUAUAAAAAUCGGACUCCGAUAAUUCCUCAAACAAAAGAGGUUAGUUAAAUUUUAUAGUUUUUUUUUAUCUUUUUUAAGUUUGUAAUAUUUAAUUUUCUCCUUUCUGUGCAGUAAUUUUUUUUUAAAUUACUAAUAUAUGUUCUGAAUGAUUUAUGGUUUUUAUUUUCCCAUGGUUAACCAUCAAUCUUUUGUGAAAUUCGUACUCGGAAUGUUCGUCUACCAAAACAGGUUAGUUAAAUGUUGUUGGUAUUGUUUGUUUUUUGAUGUAUAGUCUUUCUUAUUUCUUAUUAAAUUUUGUGUCACUAUUUUUUUUAAAUUAGUAAUAUAUGUUC